GAUGAACACUGGCGGCGUGCCUAAUACAUGCAAGUCGAGCGAACAGAUAAGGAGCUUGCUCCUUUGACGUUAGCGGCGGACGGGUGAGUAACACGUGGGUAACUUACCUAUAAGACUGGAAUAACUCCGGGAAACCGGGGCUAAUGCCGGAUAACAUGUUGAACCGCAUGGUUCUACAGUGAAAAGCGGCUUUGCUGUCACUUAUUGAUGGACCCGCGCCGUAUUAGCUAGUUGGUGAGGGGACGGCCCACCAAGGCAACGAUACGUAGCCGACCAGAGAGGAGGAUCAGCCCAACUGGGACUGAGACACGGGGCCAAAUCCUAAGGGAGGGAGGGGGGGGGGAUACUGCAGAAUGGGGGGAAGCCUUGCCGAGCCAAGCCGGGUGGGGGAAGAAGGUCUUUGGAUUGUAAAACCCUUUUUGUUAGGAGAAAAAAAAGUCAGAAGAAACCUUGCGGUUUUGAGGGUAACAAAAGAAGAAGCCCCGGGUAACCUCGGG
Molecule: ribosomal RNA, 497 nt
Filed under: uncultured bacterium
Lineage: Bacteria
Description: partial 16S ribosomal RNA
Rfam family: Bacterial small subunit ribosomal RNA
Source: RNAcentral